RNAcentral lists this ribosomal RNA (251 nucleotides) under uncultured bacterium. RNAcentral's name for it is "partial 16S ribosomal RNA". It matches the Rfam family "Bacterial small subunit ribosomal RNA", at positions 524 to 776 of the family's 1533-position model. The record is from RNAcentral.
UACGGAGGGUGCAAGCGUUAUCCGGAUUUACUGGGUUUAAAGGGUGCGUAGGUGGGUCAGUAAGUCAGUGGUGAAUCUUCAAGCUUAACUUGGAAACUGCCAUUGAUACUAUUGAUCUUGAAUUAUCUGGAGGUAAGCGGAAUAUGUCAUGUAGCGGUGAAAUGCUUAGAUAUGACAUAGAACACCAUUGCGAAGGCAGCUUACUACGGAUAUAUUGACACUGAGGCACGAAAGCGUGGGGAUCAAACAGG